RNAcentral lists this ribosomal RNA (1308 nucleotides) under Staphylococcus epidermidis. Its description in RNAcentral is "bacterial LSU rRNA". It matches the Rfam family "Bacterial large subunit ribosomal RNA", at positions 1 to 1309 of the family's 2925-position model. The record is from RNAcentral. Lineage: Bacteria; Bacillati; Bacillota; Bacilli; Caryophanales; Staphylococcaceae.
AGAUUAAGUUAUUAAGGGCGCACGGUGGAUGCCUUGGCACUAGAAGCCGAUGAAGGACGUUACUAACGACGAUAUGCUUUGGGUAGCUGUAAGUAAGCGUUGAUCCAGAGAUUUCCGAAUGGGGGAACCCAGCAUGAGUUAUGUCAUGUUAUCGACAUGUGAAUUCAUAGCAUGUCAGAAGGCAGACCCGGAGAACUGAAACAUCUUAGUACCCGGAGGAAGAGAAAGAAAAAUCGAUUCCCUGAGUAGCGGCGAGCGAAACGGGAAUAGCCCAAACCAACAAGCUUGCUUGUUGGGGUUGUAGGACACUCUAUACGGAGUUACAAAAGAACAUGUUAGACGAAUCAUCUGGAAAGAUGAAUCAAAGAAGGUAAUAAUCCUGUAGUCGAAAACAUAUUCUCUCUUGAGUGGAUCCUGAGUACGACGGAGCACGUGAAAUUCCGUCGGAAUCUGGGAGGACCAUCUCCUAAGGCUAAAUACUCUCUAGUGACCGAUAGUGAACCAGUACCGUGAGGGAAAGGUGAAAAGUACCCCGGAAGGGGAGUGAAAGAGAACUUGAAACCGUGUGCUUACAAGUAGUCAGAGCCCGUUAAUGGGUGAUGGCGUGCCUUUUGUAGAAUGAACCGGCGAGUUACGAUCUGAUGCAAGGUUAAGCAGCAAAUGUGGAGCCGCAGCGAAAGCGAGUCUGAAUAGGGCGUUGAGUAUUUGGUCGUAGACCCGAAACCAGGUGAUCUACCCUUGGUCAGGUUGAAGUUCAGGUAACACUGAAUGGAGGACCGAACCGACUUACGUUGAAAAGUGAGCGGAUGAACUGAGGGUAGCGGAGAAAUUCCAAUCGAACUUGGAGAUAGCUGGUUCUCUCCGAAAUAGCUUUAGGGCUAGCCUCAAGUGAUGAUUAUUGGAGGUAGAGCACUGUUUGGACGAGGGGCCCCUCUCGGGUUACCGAAUUCAGACAAACUCCGAAUGCCAAUUAAUUUAACUUGGGAGUCAGAACAUGGGUGAUAAGGUCCGUGUUCGAAAGGGAAACAGCCCAGACCACCAGCUAAGGUCCCAAAAUAUAUGUUAAGUGGAAAAGGAUGUGGCGUUGCCCAGACAACUAGGAUGUUGGCUUAGAAGCAGCCAUCAUUUAAAGAGUGCGUAAUAGCUCACUAGUCGAGUGACACUGCGCCGAAAAUGUAACGGGGCUAAACAUAUUACCGAAGCUGUGGAUUGUCCUUUGGACAAUGGUAGGAGAGCGUUCUAAGGGCGUCGAAGCAUGAUCGCAAGGACAUGUGGAGCACUUAGAAGUGAGAAUGCCGGUGUGAGUAG